This 466-nucleotide ribosomal RNA is filed under the name uncultured bacterium. Its description in RNAcentral is "partial 16S ribosomal RNA". It matches the Rfam family "Bacterial small subunit ribosomal RNA", at positions 28 to 507 of the family's 1533-position model. The record is from RNAcentral.
GAUGAACGCUGGCGGCGUGCUUAACACAUGCAAGUCGAACGAUGAAGCUCAGCUUGCUGGGUGGAUUAGUGGCGAACGGGUGAGUAACACGUGAGUAACCUGCCCUUAACUCUGGGAUAAGCCUGGGAAACUAGGUCUAAUACCGGAUAGGAGCGCCUACCGCAUGGUGGGUGUUGGAAAUAUUUAUCGGUUUUGGAUGGACUCGCGGCCUAUCAGCUUGUUGGUGAGGUAACGGCUCACCAAGGCGACGACGGGUAGCCGGCCUGAGAGGGUGACCGGCCACACUGGGACUGAGACACGGCCCAGACUCCUACGGGAGGCAGCAGUGGGGAAUAUUGCACAAUGGGCGAAAGCCUGAUGCAGCGACGCCGCGUGAGGGAUGACGGCCUUCGGGUUGUAAACCUCUUUCAGUAGGGAAGAAGCGAAAGUGACGGUACCUGCAGAAGAAGCACCGGCUAACUACGUG